This 1137-nucleotide long non-coding RNA is filed under the name Marmota monax (woodchuck). The record is from RNAcentral. Lineage: Eukaryota; Metazoa; Chordata; Mammalia; Rodentia; Sciuridae.
AAAAAAAUUACUUCAUAUUUGGAGUAUAUAAUUAUUCCAUGAAAAACCUUUUUUUCCCCCAAUAUUGGGGAUUGAAAGCAGGGACACUCUACCUCUGAGCUAUAUCCCCAGCCCUUAUUUUGAGAUAGAGUCUUGCUAAAUUGCUGAGGCUAGGCUCAAACUUCUGAACCUCCUGCCUCACCCUCCCAAGUCUCUGGGAUUAUAAUAGGUAUGUGCCACCAAGCCCAGCUGAAAGGCCUUCUAUAAACCAUUUUUAUGGAUAAGUUUAUCAGUUUCCUAGGGAUGCCAUAACCAAUUACUGUGAACUGGAGAGCUUAACACAACAGAAAAGUAUUCCCUCACACUUCUAGAAGCCAGAAGUCUGAAAUCAAGGUGUCAACAUUGCUAAUUUCCCUCUAGACACUCUAAGGGAGAAUCCUUCCUGGCUUUCUGGCUUCUUAUUGUCAUCAACAUUCCUUGGUUUCCUUGACUUCCUUGACUUGUGAACAUGUCAUUGCAAUAUUGACCACCAUCUUCAUGUUGCUUUUCUUCAGGGUCUGUCUUCUUUGCUUCUUUCUUAUGUCCCUCAAUCUUUCUGUUAUAUAGAUACUUGUCUUUGGAUUUAGUCCCCACUCAGAUAAUCCAGGAUGAUCUCAUCUCCAGAUCCUUAACUUAAUUACAACUGCACAGUUCCCUCCGCCCCUGACAAAUAAGGUAACAUCCACAGAUUCCAGGGAUUUUGAUGCCACCACUCAACCCACUAUGGAAAGUUCAGGAAAUGCUGUGCUAAACAAAUUCAAUAGGUUUCUUGGCUGCAAGAUUUUGCAAAGCCCUGAACUUGCUACAUUGCAUUAAGAAUCUCCAAGAGUAAGAGAAAUAUCCAAUUCAGUGAUUCCCAAAUUUUGUAUUGGGAAUUGUAUUUGCAGAAGUGAUGUUCCACAGAACAAAGAACACUCUCUGGCAUGACCUUUGGCAACACUGAUUUUGGACUCUAGCCUCCAGAACUUUGAGACAACAAAUUUCUGUUAUUUUUAAGUCAGCGACCCAGUUGGUGGUAUUUUGUUACAGCAGCUCUAGGAAACCAAAACAGGAUGCUUCAAAGAUACUCCACUUAAAAAAAAAUAAAUAAAGUGGGGCUUCUUUAAGCAUUCUCAUUAU